CAGUCGCCACGGUAAUACGUAGGGUGCAAGCGUUAAUCGGAAUUACUGGGCGUAAAGCGUGCGCAGGCGGUUAUAUAAGACAGAUGUGAAAUCCCCGGGCUCAACCUGGGAACUGCAUUUGUGACUGUAUAGCUAGAGUACGGCAGAGGGGGAUGGAAUUCCGCGUGUAGCAGUGAAAUGCGUAGAUAUGCGGAGGAACACCGAUGGCGAAGGCAAUCCCCUGGGCCUGUACUGACGCUCAUGCACGAAAGCGUGGGGAGCAAACAGGAUUAGAUACCCCGGUAGUCCCUGUCUCUUAUAU
This 301-nucleotide ribosomal RNA is filed under the name uncultured bacterium. RNAcentral describes it as "partial 16S ribosomal RNA". It matches the Rfam family "Bacterial small subunit ribosomal RNA", at positions 509 to 809 of the family's 1533-position model. The record is from RNAcentral.